UUUUUUUUUUUUUUUUUUUUUUUUAAUGAGAGGUGGGAGAUGUAGAGUGUUUUGAAUGUGGUUUGGGCAGGGGGCUCACAGUGUGUGUAGCUGAGUGGUGGGAGGGAUGAAACUACACCUGGACAAGGAGUGGACAGGCCUUCUGUUGGCAGGAAGGCAGAGCCAGAUAGCCCUGGGGGCAGCACCCAUGGCUUCAGCAGUGGCUGAGUGGUUUCUCAGGCCUGAGAACAACUCAGACACACCUUCAGGGCUUUAGGGGGCUCAGCAGCAGACAGAGCAAGAGAGUAGAGGGAACUAACUGGCUGCAGAGAUGUCUGUAUGUAAGCAUAUGUGAGCAUCAUAUGGUGACUCUGGAUAUUGUUUGUGUUUGUGUGUAAACUAAGUAGACCUGGGGUCGCUGCAGUUUUUGGUAGAGCCAAAGCCAGGGACAUAGGCCUUGUUAAUAAACUUAUGAUCCAGCUUUCACUCCUCUCCUGGAAAGCCUAACCAGAGUGGCUGAGGUUAUGGCUGAUACCAGUUCUGCUAAAUUAUUACCCACUGGUCAGAAAUCCUUUCAAUUAAGCAAUUGGAAUAACAUGGUAAAAAUAAUUUCUAGAAUGGUAUAAGUUUGUUUAAAAGAAAUAUAUUCAAAUCAUAUAAUUAAUUGCAUAAUGGGUAGAGUUUUUGAAGUGUUUUUCUCAAAUAAACUUCACAGGGAUGCAUCCAUGUAUUUAUGUAUGUGUGUGUGUGUGUGUGUGUGUGUGUGUGUGUCUGGUUAUAUAUCAAUUAAACCACUAAGCAAAGAGCAAAGAUAUUUGUUUCUCUUUAAAGUUUUCUAUUAUUAGUGAUUUUUAAGGAAAAAAAUUGAACAGUAAGCUUUUAUGACAUGGUAGGUUUUUUGAGGUGGUGGUGGUGGUGUUAGAACUAGUCUCAAGGGUGCCUGGCUGGUUCAGUCAGUAGAGCAUGGGACUCUUGAUCACAAGGUUGCAGGUUCCAGCACUAUGUUGGGUGCAAGAUUACUUAAAAAUAAAAUCUUAAAAAAAUUAAAAAAAAAAAAGAACUAACCUCAAAAUAAAGCAUCUCUGACACUAUUUUCAACUGGAACAAGAGUUUAAAAUCUGCUUAUGAAAUUGAUUCCAGAAAAAGAACAUAUUAAAUAAGUUAUGGAAAGCCAAAAAUAUUUCACUUUUGCUCACAGUCUAAAUAUUUACAAGGCAUUUAUCAAUAUGAGUUGCAUGACUGUUAAGUCUCUAAUUAAACUGCUAUUUCCAGGCCUUAACUACAAUGAAAAUUCUAUAAAGAAUGCUAUUAGCCAGUUAUCAACCUAUUUUAAUCACAAUUUGAAUUAAUACAGGAAAACAAUAUCCAAGAAGAGGGCAUCAUUUUGACUCAAAUGGUAGGUAGGUUUUAAAUUUCACACUAGAUGUUAAGUGCUAGAUAGACAAGGACCAUUUCUCUUUUUCUUUACAGGGUCUCAGAACACUUGAUAGUGCUCUGCAGAAUCAGUAUUCCAUAAAUCCUACAGUCUGACUUCAAAGAGUCUCUUAAAAAACCAUAAAAAUGUCAUUUAAUUCAAGUUCCAGGUUAGAACAUCCUAGGAGGCUCCCUGCCCAGUAAUAAUAAACUCAUCAAAUAAUCAUGCCAACAAUUGGACAUGCUCACAAGCCUCACGUAAAGGGAUCAGUGUUGUUCAAUUUGCAGAGAGGAAAUCUCUGGCUUGCUGUCAAAAAUCAAACGUGUGGACACUGUGAUUCAGCACUGUCAUAGUGUCAGUCCAAAAACAAAAAAUGAAAAAUAAACGAUGUUAAAAAGAUUAAUUUGUCAUUAAAUGUAAGGAACACAUCCAACAGUCACCGCGGCAUAUUCUCUAUGGGUGCCCGCAAACCAGCCUACCCAUCUGAGAUUCUAGAAUCAUACAUACUUAUGUUUGGAUCACUGGUUCAGGCUCCUCUCCAGGAAAAACUGAGAGCAAGAACCUCUAAAUAGGAACAUUAAAAACAUUUACUCAAAAUUACUUUAAGUACCUGAUAUGCAACACUUAUUGAUCUAGUUACUGGGGCUCAAAUGGUGAGCAAAAGAGAUCCUUGAUUUUCAAGAGAUUCAAGAAGGCCCAGGGAAAAGAAGUAUCAUAUACUUUGAAGAUAACUGAAUAUAAAUUAUGAAGCAGUUAGCUGACUCAGAAAUAUGCACUUAGUGCUAGAAAUAACAUAUGGUCACAACUGUAGCCUGGUUCUGCUACAAGUCACCAGCUUCAUCUCACCAUAGGAGGUGGAAAGCCCUAGUGAGUGUCCUCUAAUGUCUAUUGGGGUUCUAACAUUUAUUUGACUUUUCCUCUUUUUAAAAAAAAUUAUCUCUUUCCUAUUAAGUCUCAUUGCUGAUUUUCUGGUCUUGGACUUACUCAGGCAUCACCAACUAAAUAUGAUUUCAAAAUUUUUAUUUAGGAAGUUUUCAAGCAUGCACAUAGUUAAAAACAUCAUGAUUCAAUGAGUGACUCAUUUAACAACAAAUCUCAUUAAUUUGUUACUGAGCUUCAAAAAUUGUCAACAUUUUGCUAGUCUUGUUUCAUCUAUCUCUACACCCUUUCUAAAAAGGCAAUUUUAUUUCCAUUGUUUGAGAUAUUUUGAUUUUUAAUUGCUACUGAUAAAUAAAAGAGUUGUCAUCCAUGGUGCUAAUGCCCAGAAAAGAAUGGGCAUUUGCUAAAUGAAUGACUGACUGUCUUCAAUAAAAGACUCUGUUUUGAGGGUUUUCAAGCUAUCUAGGGUAGGAAAGAAAAUAGACAUUCUGAGUUCAGUGUUAGAUUGUAAGGUUUAGGAGAAUUCAUCUAUAGACAGGCAAACUUUAAGUUUUCCUGUCCUGUUUCCUACCUACAGCCCAGUAAAAGGGGGUAUUCAAACACUAACACAGGGAAAAAGCAUAGCGUGGUAGGAGAAUUAAAGGUAAAGUUCAUCUCUCUUGAUGCUCUGUGAACACUUAAUUAAAACAAAUAUUGUUCUAAAAUACGCAGUUACUUUCCAAGGUCAUACUGGGUGCCAUUUUAAUGAAGAUGCACUUGCUCAAACGAAUUUGCUUUAUUAUGUAUUUUAAUUGUACCCCAUAUGCACAUGGUAUCUAAAGUACAGUUCUAGAAUCAGAGAAUAAAGGAAAACAAGUCUCAAAAAAAAAAUACUGAACGAAACAGACAUGUUCUCUCGUGAGUUACAUAAUGAACUGCCAUCACAGCAAUUUAUUGAAUCUAGGUUCAGUCUUAACUUCCUCAAAAAAUUGCCAGUGGAGAAGCAAAACUUCAAUUGUGGAUAAUACAUAACUAAGAAAAGAACUUAAAAUGAUAUUAAUUGAAAAAUAAAAAGGUAGUGUCACCCAGGGAUGACAAAUCAGGAGACCUAAUCCUAUCCUGGCUUUCUAUCAAGACUCCAAAUGAAUAAAGUUAUAAUCUCAAUCUUUACUUUUACCUAUCAAGCAAAACCAAAGUAAAAUCCAAAUUGUUUGAAUUAUACAAGAAUUCAUCAAAUGAUAUUCCAGUAAUAUGGUAUGGCUAGAAGAGGAUUGAUUUGGGAAUCAGAAAAUCUGUGUGAUCCUGGACAGAUCACAACCUGUCUGGGCCUCAGUGUCAUGACUGUAUAAUGGGAACAAACUACCACAUCCAAAGUUCUCUUUAAUGUUUCAGAGUCAUAGAAAUUGAUCUUGUGUGGUUCUUUGAUAUAUUAAAACAGAUAAGAGUGAAUCAAUUCUUGUUAGGAAACAAAGGCAAGAGAAGAGCUCAGAGCCUCAACUGCUCAGCAUCCCUCCCAUGCCCAGGUCUCUUCGGAACCACAGGCUUUUAGAUUCCCUAACCUAGAAUUCCUGAAGAUUGAUCAACUUUAGGGAUGCUUGGGUGGCUCUGUGGUUUAGUCUGCCUUUGGCCCAGGCCAUGAUCCUGGAGUCCUGGGAUUGAGUCCCACAUCAAGCUCCAUGCAUGGA
RNAcentral lists this long non-coding RNA (3936 nucleotides) under Canis lupus familiaris (dog). RNAcentral's name for it is "lncRNA (ENSCAFG00000054319.1)". The record is from RNAcentral. Lineage: Eukaryota; Metazoa; Chordata; Mammalia; Carnivora; Canidae.